Molecule: ribosomal RNA, 499 nt
Filed under: uncultured bacterium
Lineage: Bacteria
Description: partial 16S ribosomal RNA
Rfam family: Bacterial small subunit ribosomal RNA
Source: RNAcentral
AUUGAACGCUGGCGGCAGGCUUAACACAUGCAAGUCGAGCGGAGAUGAGGUGCUUGCACCUUAUCUUAGCGGCGGACGGGUGAGUAAUGCUUAGGAAUCUGCCUAUUAGUGGGGGACAACAUUCCGAAAGGAAUGCUAAUACCGCAUACGUCCUACGGGAGAAAGCAGGGGAUCUUCGGACCUUGCGCUAAUAGAUGAGCCAAAGUCGGAUUAGCUAGUUGGUGGGGUAAAGGCCUACCAAGGCGACGAUCUGUAGCGGGUCUGAGAGGAUGAUCCGCCACUGGGACUGAGACACGGCCCAGACUCCUACGGGAGGCAGCAGUGGGGAAUAUUGGACAAUGGGGGGAACCCUGAUCCAGCCAUGCCGCGUGUGUGAAGAAGGCCUUAUGGUUGUAAAGCACUUUAAGCGAGGAGGAGGCUACUGAGACUAAUACUCUUGGAUAGUGGACGUUACUCGCAGAAUAAGCACCGGCUAACUCUGUGCCAGCCGCCGCCGUAA